GAACGCUGAAGCUUGGUGCUUGCACCGAGCGGAGGAGUUGCGAACGGGUGAGUAACGCGUAGGUAACCUGCCUCUUAGCGGGGGAUAACUAUUGGAAACGAUAGCUAAUACCGCAUAAAAGUCGACAUUGCAUGAUGUUGACUUGAAAGGUGCAACUGCAUCACUAAGAGAUGGACCUGCGUUGUAUUAGCUAGUUGGUGAGGUAACGGCUCACCAAGGCGACGAUACAUAGCCGACCUGAGAGGGUGAUCGGCCACACUGGGACUGAGACACGGCCCAGACUCCUACGGGAGGCAGCAGUAGGGAAUCUUCGGCAAUGGACGGAAGUCUGACCGAGCAACGCCGCGUGAGUGAAGAAGGUUUUCGGAUCGUAAAGCUCUGUUGUAAGAGAAGAACGAGUGUGAGAGUGGAAAGUUCACACUGUGACGGUAACUUACCAGAAAGGGACGGCUAACUACGUGCCAGCAGCCGCGGUAAUACGUAGGUCCCGAGCGUUAUCCGGAUUUAUUGGGCGUAAAGCGAGCGCAGGCGGUUAGAUAAGUCUGAAGUUAAAGGCUGUGGCUUAACCAUAGUACGCUUUGGAAACUGUUUAACUUGAGUGCAGAAGGGGAGAGUGGAAUCCCAUGUGUAGCGGUGAAAUGCGUAGAUAUAUGGAGGAACACCGGUGGCGAAAGCGGCUCUCUGGUCUGUAACUGA
RNAcentral lists this ribosomal RNA (696 nucleotides) under uncultured Bacilli bacterium. RNAcentral's name for it is "bacterial SSU rRNA". It matches the Rfam family "Bacterial small subunit ribosomal RNA", at positions 64 to 743 of the family's 1533-position model. Lineage: Bacteria; Bacillati; Bacillota; Bacilli. The record is from RNAcentral.